Molecule: ribosomal RNA, 565 nt
Filed under: uncultured bacterium
Lineage: Bacteria
Description: partial 16S ribosomal RNA
Rfam family: Bacterial small subunit ribosomal RNA
Source: RNAcentral
UGGGGAAUUUUGGACAAUGGGCGCAAGCCUGAUCCAGCCAUGCCGCGUGCGGGAAGAAGGCCUUCGGGUUGUAAACCGCUUUGUCAGGGAAGAAAUCUUCUGAGUUAAUACCUCGGGAGGAUGACGGUACCUGAAGAAUAAGCACCGGCUAACUACGUGCCAGCAGCCGCGGUAAUACGUAGGGUGCAAGCGUUAAUCGGAAUUACUGGGCGUAAAGCGUGCGCAGGCGGUUUUGUAAGACAGAGGUGAAAUCCCCGGGCUCAACCUGGGAACUGCCUUUGUGACUGCAAGGCUUGAGUGCGGCAGAGGGGGAUGGAAUUCCGCGUGUAGCAGUGAAAUGCGUAGAUAUGCGGAGGAACACCGAUGGCGAAGGCAAUCCCCUGGGCCUGCACUGACGCUCAUGCACGAAAGCGUGGGGAGCAAACAGGAUUAGAUACCCUGGUAGUCCACGCCCUAAACGAUGUCAACUGGUUGUUGGGAAGGUUCCUUCUCAGUAACGUAGCUAACGCGUGAAGUUGACCGCCUGGGGAGUACGGCCGCAAGGUUGAAACUUAAAGGAAUUGAC